This 253-nucleotide ribosomal RNA is filed under the name uncultured bacterium. Its description in RNAcentral is "partial 16S ribosomal RNA". It matches the Rfam family "Bacterial small subunit ribosomal RNA", at positions 524 to 776 of the family's 1533-position model. The record is from RNAcentral.
UACGUAGGGGGCAAGCGUUAUCCGGAUUUAUUGGGCGUAAAGAGCUCGUAGGCGGCUGAUCACGUCGGUUGUGAAAGCUCAGGGCUCAACCCUGAGACGCCAAUCGAUACGGAUCGGCUAGAGGUAGGUAGGGGAAAGUGGAAUUCCUGGUGUAGCGGUGAAAUGCGCAGAUAUCAGGAGGAACACCGGUGGCGAAGGCGGCUUUCUGGGCCUUACCUGACGCUGAGGAGCGAAAGCUGGGGGAGCAAACAGG